AGAGUUUGAUCAUGGCUCAGGAUGAACGCUAGCGGCAGGCUUAAUACAUGCAAGUCGAGGGGCAGCAGGUUUGUAGCAAUACAGAUGCUGGCGACCGGCAAACGGGUGCGGAACACGUACAGAACCUUCCUUUAAGUGGGGAAUAGCCCGGGGAAACUUGGAUUAAUACCCCGUAAUAUGAUAGAGUGGCAUCACUUUAUUAUUAUAGCUCCGGCGCUUGAAGAUGGCUGUGCGGCUGAUUAGGUAGUUGGCGGGGUAACGGCCCACCAAGCCUUCGAUCAGUAACUGGUGUGAGAGCACGACCAGUCACACGGGCACUGAGACACGGGCCCGACUCCUACGGGAGGCAGCAGUAAGGAAUAUUGGUCAAUGGACGAAAGUCUGAACCAGCCAUGCCGCGUGGAGGAUGAAGGCCCUCUGGGUUGUAAACUUCUUUUAUAUGGGACGAAAAAAGAUCUUUCUAGGUCACCUGACGGUACCAUAUGAAUAAGCACCGGCUAACUCCGUGCCAGCAGCCGCGGUAAUACGGAGGGUGCAAGCGUUAUCCGGAUUCACUGGGUUUAAAGGGUGCGUAGGUGGGUUGGUAAGUCAGUGGUGAAAUCUCCGAGCUUAACUUGGAAACUGCCAUUGAUACUAUCAGUCUUGAAUAUUGUGGAGGUCAGCGGAAUAUGUCAUGUAGCGGUGAAAUGCUUAGAUAUGACAUAGAACACCAAUUGCGAAGGC
RNAcentral lists this ribosomal RNA (723 nucleotides) under uncultured bacterium. RNAcentral describes it as "bacterial SSU rRNA". It matches the Rfam family "Bacterial small subunit ribosomal RNA", at positions 8 to 722 of the family's 1533-position model. The record is from RNAcentral.